Molecule: long non-coding RNA, 1334 nt
Organism: Daphnia carinata
Lineage: Eukaryota; Metazoa; Arthropoda; Branchiopoda; Diplostraca; Daphniidae
Exons: 2
Source: RefSeq, a predicted model, not a curated record
UUAUCCAAUGAAUGCGCCUGUUCAAGGAUCUUUGUUUUGUUAAUAGCAUCAUUCGACGAUACAUAGAAAUAGCUACGCGAAUUAAUAUGGGCAAUAGUAAUUCAAAAUGUUUUGAGUAUGUAGCUGAAGUUUUCUUCAGAAUUUCAAAAGCCUCCACAUUUAGAUCGAUGAAUCUAUCAUUUGUCUGGCGAGAACGGGAUUCAGCGCACAUUCUCAGUCAGUCUUUUUUUAUGGUAUAGUGGGAAUCAGCAGUAGACUAUAGACUGCGAUAAAUAUUUCACCAACUCCCUCGCUAACUUCUCAUCCACUACGGCUGGAUCGUAAAUCACAAAUAUGCCGCAGUCGCUGAAGGCUGUAAAAAAGAUAAAAAAGAAUGACGUCAAAAGCUUGGGGUUUAUUCGAGGAAACUGAACAGCUAGAAAAAGGCAUUUAUGUAUUGGAUUAAGUCUCCUUUGUCGUGCUAUGUGUAUGCCAGGCUUAAGGCGAUCGGCGAAGCCCAAAAAUUCAAUCCUUCGCUAAACAAAAAUUACUGGAGCCAAACGGGGAAAAUAAAACAGAAGUCAGACAUUACGGAAGCAACAGUUGAGAGUUCGCGGGAACGGAGGUAAUCGACCGCAUGUGGCGCAAUGCGUCAAAUGCGAACGCCGUCUCAUCAUAACAGCAUGACUGCGGCUGCCGUCAACCGCGUGCGAUAGAUGGAUCACGCGGUAACAAUGUUUUUCUUUGCAUUUUGCCCAGUUAAAAAAGAUCAACUUAUCUAUACCACCAAAGUUUUGCUGCAAUAUACACUUAUGGAAUAAACGAUGUUUUCAUAUAUUGUCAUUGUAUUUCUUCAGCCAAGUGUCAGUGAGUGUGAAGCAUGUCGCGCAAUUUUCCCAGCCAAUGUUUUUGACCGUCUCGGCGCCUCAAAUAAACCAGAGGCCGUCGGUCACAAUUAUAGCCUACUCGGCAAUAGUCAAGCUGAACCGCACAAUCCUUAUUUAACUAUGCGACUGGAGAAGAGUCCCGUUAGUCACAGUGGCGUUCUGCAUCCAUAUAAAUAGCAACUCCUCUCAGCCAGCUCUUUGCAAGGUCUGACUAGACGUCCUCCCAGAUCCUUAUAUCUUGCUUGCCGGGCCACACGCGCAGACCCACUGAGCCCCAACUAAAUGAUUACGGAGACACGGACAUGGGAGAGUGAUGGUCUUCUGGUUGACAGUGGCAUCAGCAUUUUUAUCAGAUGCUAGAGAUGGCGUGAUAGACCAACUUUGUCAGUCAAUCACUAUGUAUGCGCACUCCAAUGCAAACACAAGUAGUGGGAGACGUUUACGUGCAUGGUAUACGUCCAGAUUUCA